ACGGAGGGGGCAAGCGUUGUUCGGAUUUACUGGGCGUAAAGGGCGCGUAGGCGGCGUGACAAGUCAUUUGUGAAAUCUCCGGGCUUAACUCGGAACUGCCAAGUGAUACUGUCGUGCUAGAGUGCAGAAGGGGCAAUCGGAAUUCUUGGUGUAGUGGUGAAAUGCGUAGAUAUCAAGAGGAACACCAGAGGCGAAGGCGGAUUGCUGGGCUGACACUGACGCUGAGGCGCGAAAGCUAGGGUAGCAAACGGGA
This 253-nucleotide ribosomal RNA is filed under the name uncultured prokaryote. Its description in RNAcentral is "partial 16S ribosomal RNA". It matches the Rfam family "Bacterial small subunit ribosomal RNA", at positions 525 to 777 of the family's 1533-position model. The record is from RNAcentral.